GAUGAAGAACGCAGCGAAAUGCGAUAAGUAAUGUGAAUUGCAGAAUUCAGUGAAUCAUCGAAUCUUUGAACGCACAUUGCGCCCCUUGGUAUUCCGAGGGGCAUGCCCGUUCGAGCGUCAUUAUACCCCUCAAGCCUAGCUUGGUGUUGGGGCCUGCUGUUACCGGCAGCCCUUAAAAUCAGUGGCGGUGCCAUCUGGCUCUAAGCGUAGUAAUACUUCUCGCUACAGGGUCCCGGUGGAUGCUUGCCAUCAACCCCUAAUUUUCUAUGGUUGACCUCGGAUCGGGUAGGGAUACCCGCUGAACUUAAGCAUAUCAAUAAGCGGAGA
RNAcentral lists this unclassified non-coding RNA (327 nucleotides) under soil metagenome. RNAcentral describes it as "partial contains 5.8S ribosomal RNA, internal transcribed spacer 2, and large subunit ribosomal RNA". The stretch from base 1 to 120 matches the Rfam family "5.8S ribosomal RNA", at positions 35 to 154 of the family's 154-position model. The record is from RNAcentral.